This 422-nucleotide unclassified non-coding RNA is filed under the name soil metagenome. RNAcentral's name for it is "partial contains 5.8S ribosomal RNA, internal transcribed spacer 2, and large subunit ribosomal RNA". The stretch from base 1 to 120 matches the Rfam family "5.8S ribosomal RNA", at positions 35 to 154 of the family's 154-position model. The record is from RNAcentral.
GAUGAAGAACGCAGCGAAAUGCGAUAAGUAAUGUGAAUUGCAGAUUUCAGUGAAUCAUCGAAUCUUUGAACGCACCUUGCGCCUUGUGGUAUUCCACAAGGCAUGCCCGUUUGAGUAUCAUUAAAUCAUCAACUCUAAAACCUUUGUGGUUUUUUUAGAGCUUGGUCUUGAGGGUUUUGCAGGCUUUUUUUUUUUCGAGUCUGCUCCCUUUAAACGCAUUAGCGAGACUUCCCUAUGCUGAACCGUCUCUUUGACGUGAUAAUUAUCUGCGUCGAAUUUUGGUUCUCGUUGGGCUUGCUUCUAAUCGUCUGUUAAAGACAAAACGGAUUUGGGUGCAUAUAUGCGCCUUUUUCCAAAACCUUUUUUGAUCUCAAAUCGGGUAGGACUACCCGCUGAACUUAAGCAUAUCAAUAAGCGGAGGA